Long non-coding RNA from Epinephelus moara (kelp grouper), 2239 nucleotides. RefSeq lists it as uncharacterized. Lineage: Eukaryota; Metazoa; Chordata; Actinopteri; Perciformes; Serranidae. The transcript has 3 exons. The record is from RefSeq and is a predicted model, not a curated record.
GAGAAGUGGCGAGAGAGGAAGAGUGGAGUACUGGAGGAGAGAAAAGAAAACACAAAAUGAAAAGAAGCUACCCCAGCGGUGCUGAAAAGAGGAGGAAGAAGGAGGAAACCCGAAAGUUGAUGUCUAAGUUACCGAAAGUGACAAAUUUCUUCACUGCGCCUGCGGCAGCGGCCAGCUGCAGCAACAGCAGCAGCAACCCACAACCGCACCACAACAUAGAGGACAGCAGCUGCUGCUGCCCAAAUUUGAGCUGUGUAAAGAGGGCCCCAUGCCUGCCUUUGCCUUGGGCCCCAAAUUUCCUAAAUCCGCCACUGGGAGACUGUACUCGUGUUUGGAGACUCUGACUUCUGUUGCUCUGCAGUUACUGUCCCCAACGAGCAGCAGGUGCUGCUGUGAGCCCAUCCACCAUCCCAAAGCACUCACAGGCAGUCACACUAGCCUGGCGCAGCAGCCCCAGAGGGUAGAAUUUACAUAUAAAUAAACGGACGCAUUUUAUGAUGUAGGCCGAAAAUGAGCUUCCCCUCAUUGAAAGACCAGCAGCCGCCACUGGUUCAGACUGACGCCAAAUUACAAUUGAAAGGAUCAGAUUUCAUGUGAUUUGUGGUGUUCACACUGUGAUGAAAAUAAUAUGAGCAAAGCAAAUUUAUAUAUAUAUGUAUAUUUAUAACAGCGCUGCUUCACUUUGGUGCAUGAGCAAUCACACACACGCACAAUAAUAAAUAAGAUAAAUAAUAUAAAUGUAUAAAAACGCUGAAAUGAAACUGUAUUGCUCAUGGUUAAGUCAAGGAAAAUAGAUAUUAACACAGUGUUGUAGAUGGAUCAGUGGCAGUGCAGAUGAGUCAGUCACUGUGUGUAUGAGUUCACUGUGCUUGUGGCCUCAGGGAAAAACUGUCUCUGAAUCUGGAUGUGCGUGUUUUGACAGACUUGUAACGCCUGCCAGAGGGCAACAGUUCAAACAGGUGCUGACCUGGAUAAGUGGAGUCCUGAUGUGAGUGGCACUGCUGAGGUAGCAGGAGCUGGUGAUGUCUUCCAGGUAGGGCAGAGAGCAUCCGAUGACUUUCUUCACUUCUGUCUGAACGUGGCCGGAUUGGCUCGGAAAGAGCCUCACAACACUGUGCCGGCUCCUCACCCUCCUCCAUGUCCUCACCCACCUGGAACAGAGCAGCACCAUGAUAAUUAUGACACAUAAAUAUUACUGGAGCUUCUGAAGGAGCACUGACAGGAGGGAUGUUUUUGUCUUAGUGUUCAAAUCUACAGUUUCUCGAACAUGACGAGUUCAUAUCACUGCAAAGCAUUGUAAACAUGACAACCAGCCCGCAUCCUUACUCAUGUUGUCUUUGUCUUCACCAAGAAUCACCCUGAAUGCCAUAAAGUUUGCCAUGUCUGCAGCAAAUAGAAAUGAUGACCAGACAUAACUGCCCAACAAGGCAAAUCCAUCACUCUGUCUUUCUCAAAUCGGCCCUAAUUCCACAAGGUAUUUUUGUGCUCUUGGUAACCUGUGACCAGACAGAAUCACCCUGCAACCAGCUAGGGGUUUCACCGAAUAGUCGACUAUUCAAAUAUUUGACUAUCAAAACCACUAAUCGACGCUAUGCGUCACAGUCGAGUAUUCGUCUUUUUCUUGUUUUUCUUUUUUCAAAAGCCCCGUGCUGUAAUAAUGCGGUGGCAUGGCAUCUACAUUAAUGAUCUACAGCAGAUAUGCAGCUGGGGGCGCUGUGGGCAUGUGAGACUAGUGUAGUGUGUGUGUGACGUCAACACGUAAGGCCACUGUUUGGGCCUCACUACACCAGUAAAAAAGUAAGGACUGACAGCACCUGUCCAGAGGAGGUAGAGGAAUAUUUCCAGGUGACCCGCAUCUCCACAACGAGCAACCCUCUGGAGUGGUGGGCGCGCAAGGAGAAGCAGUUCCCCCGUCUGGCAAAGCUGGCCAGAAGCUACCUGGCUAUCCCAGCUACCAGCACCCCAAGUGAGAGAGUUUUCUCCCUGGCUGGGAACACGAUUACCCGUCAGAAAGCAAGUUUACACCCAGCUCAUGUGGAUGCCCUUGUUUUCCUGAACGCAAACCAAGAGCGCAGGAAUAGGAUUAUUAAAGAGGAGGACUUUGACGAGAGUGAAUAACUGUUUAGCAAGCAGGCACAGACUGAUAGCCCACUGGAAUAUUUUGCUUUUUUGCACUUUCAUUAUGGUGUUGCACUGUGGUGAGUAGGCUAAGUUUUGCAUUUUUAUUUACAACAUUUAA